UACGUAGGGCGCAAGCGUUGUCCGGAAUCAUUGGGCGUAAAGAGCUCGUAGGCGGCCUGUUGCGUCCGCUGUGAAAGUCCAGGGCUCAACCCUGGAAUGCCGGUGGAAACUGUCAAGCUUGAGUCCGGAAGAGGCGAGUGGAAUUCCUGGUGUAGCGGUGAAAUGCGCAGAUAUCAGGAGGAACACCAAUGGCGAAGGCAGCUCGCUGGGACGGUACUGACGCUGAGACGCGAAAGCGUGGGGAGCAAACAGG
This 253-nucleotide ribosomal RNA is filed under the name uncultured bacterium. RNAcentral's name for it is "partial 16S ribosomal RNA". It matches the Rfam family "Bacterial small subunit ribosomal RNA", at positions 524 to 776 of the family's 1533-position model. The record is from RNAcentral.